Long non-coding RNA from Hyaena hyaena (striped hyena), 659 nucleotides. RefSeq lists it as uncharacterized. Lineage: Eukaryota; Metazoa; Chordata; Mammalia; Carnivora; Hyaenidae. The transcript has 3 exons. The record is from RefSeq and is a predicted model, not a curated record.
CUUAUCCUCGGCGCUCAGACCUCUGGAGAACGAUCUCUGAGCCGACCGAGCCUGCCGCUUCGUUCUUCCUCCGGGUGAUCCAAACCACUUUCCCUGACAUUUGGUUCCCUGACCAGGAAACCCAACCGCGCCGGCCCGUUGUUGCCACAGUUUAGGGGAAAACGGCGAGGCGGUGACGCAAGGAGGAAUCGCAAAGGAGAAGGUGCACCCUGCCUGAAUUUCGGCAGUCUCCAGCUUAGUGGCCCUGGCUGGGCCUGCUCCGCCGUUACCCUCAGAUGCGAGGAGACUUGGCAAAUGAGGACCCGGAACCCACGUCGGAAACCAGUAAGGCCUGGGCCCUAAAUCUGCCCUGUCCUGUCCGGCCCACCCAUAAUGGUGGAAGAGGGAGCUGAUCACGCCCCGGAGACCUCACUGGUCUCACAGGUAGAAAUUCUGUGGGAGGAAAUGUAAUAACCUCAGAUAUUGCAUAUAUCUAAGAGUUGAAGAACAUGGGAGAUGGUGAUAUUAUUGGAAUGUUGUAAUCUGAUUAAUUGCAUUAGAAGUCGACAUUUAAAAAGACGUCAUCUGAGGAACAGUUCAUGGAAGAUUUCAGGACUGUUUUAGCCGUUUGCGUGGAAUGCCAAACUGUGGACACUGUGCAGAUGCUAGUGCUCGGAAGG